GAUGAACGCUGGCGGCGUGCCUAAUACAUGCAAGUCGAGCGAACAGACGAGGAGCUUGCUCCUCUGACGUUAGCGGCGGACGGGUGAGUAACACGUGGAUAACCUACCUAUAAGACUUGGAUAACUUCGGGAAACCGGAGCUAAUACCGUAUAACAUGUUGAACCGCAUGGUUCAACUUUGAAAUACGUUCUUUCUGUCACUUAUAGAUGGAUCCCCGCCGCAUUAGCUAGUUGGUAAGGUAACGGCUUACCAAGGCAACGAUUCGUAGCCGACCUGAGAGGGUGAUCGGCCACACUGGAACUGAGACACGGUACAGAAUACUACGGGAGGCAGCAGUAGGGAAUAUUCCGAAAUGGGCGAAAGCCUGACGGAGCAACGCCGCGUGAGAGAAGAAGGUCUUCGGAUCGUAAAACUCUGUUAUUAGGGAAGAAAAAAUGUGUAAGUAACUAUGCACGUCUUGACGGUAACUAAUCAGAAAGCGACGGCUAACUACGUG
RNAcentral lists this ribosomal RNA (497 nucleotides) under uncultured bacterium. RNAcentral describes it as "partial 16S ribosomal RNA". It matches the Rfam family "Bacterial small subunit ribosomal RNA", at positions 28 to 507 of the family's 1533-position model. The record is from RNAcentral.